RNAcentral lists this ribosomal RNA (484 nucleotides) under uncultured bacterium. Its description in RNAcentral is "partial 16S ribosomal RNA". It matches the Rfam family "Bacterial small subunit ribosomal RNA", at positions 30 to 507 of the family's 1533-position model. The record is from RNAcentral.
AUUGAACGCUGGCGGCAGGCCUAACACAUGCAAGUCGAGCGGAUGAAGGGAGCUUGCUCCUGGAUUCAGCGGCGGACGGGUGAGUAAUGCCUAGGAAUCUGCCUGGUAGUGGGGGAUAGCGUCCGGAAACGGGCGCUAAUACCGCAUACGUCCUGAGGGAGAAAGUGGGGGAUCCUCGGACCUCACGCUAUCAGAUGAGCCUAGGUCGGAUUAGCUAGUUGGUGGGGUAAAGGCCUACCAAGGCGACGAUCCGUAACUGGUCUGAGAGGAUGAUCAGUCACACUGGAACUGAGACACGGUCCAGACUCCUACGGGAGGCAGCAGUGGGGAAUAUUGGACAAUGGGCGAAAGCCUGAUCCAGCCAUGCCGCGUGUGUGAAGAAGGUCUUCGGAUUGUAAAGCACUUUAAGUUGGGAGGAAGGGCAGUAAGUUAAUACCUUGCUGUUUUGACGUUACCAACAGAAUAAGCACCGGCUAACUUCGUG